Molecule: long non-coding RNA, 420 nt
Organism: Salvia miltiorrhiza (redroot sage)
Lineage: Eukaryota; Viridiplantae; Streptophyta; Magnoliopsida; Lamiales; Lamiaceae
Exons: 2
Source: RefSeq, a predicted model, not a curated record
UUUUUUUACGCAGACUCCAUUUCUCUCUAUUCUCUCACAUGCGUCUCUCACUCUCGCUCUCCCUCUCGCCCGGCGAUGUCGCCGAUCCUCGGUGCCUCCGACGCGGCGAGGUCGGUGCCACUCUCAUAUUUUUCUUCAUUUCCUUCAUUUUCCCCCAAUUUUUAAUUCAAAAUCAACCUAGGGUUUCUAAUUUUCCCCCCUUCCACUCUUGUCAUCCGGUGAGUUUCGCCGCCACCAUUGUCCCCAUCGCACUGCCACCUACUCCAUCUCAGGAGUCCAUGAUUCAGGGUGUCUCUCGGAGUGGCUACUGCUCAAGAUCCAAUUUUUAUAUGUGAUAAAUCCGUUUCUUUAUUGUUAUUAAGAAAUUGGGACUGUGUUUAUGAAGUCAGAAUUGGAUAUGUGAUUAUAGUUAUUAUUCAU